Molecule: ribosomal RNA, 460 nt
Filed under: uncultured bacterium
Lineage: Bacteria
Description: partial 16S ribosomal RNA
Rfam family: Bacterial small subunit ribosomal RNA
Source: RNAcentral
CCUACGGGUGGCAGCAGUGAGGAAUAUUGGUCAAUGGACGAGAGUCUGAACCAGCCAUGUAGCGUGAAGGAUGACGGCCCUAUGAGUUGUAAACUGCUUUUAUAUGGGGAUAAAACAGGGUAUGUAUACCGUGUUGUAUGUACCAUAUGAAUAAGGAUCGGCUAACUCCGUGCCAGCAGCCGCGGUAAUACGGAGGAUUCGAGCGUUAUCCGGAUUUAUUGGGUUUAAAGGGAGCGUAGGUGGAUUGUUAAGUCAGUUGUGAAAGUUUGCGGCUCAACCGUAACAUUGCAUUUGAUACUGGCAGUCUUGAGUAUAGUAGAGGUAGGCGGAAUGCGUGGUGUAGCGGUGAAAUGCUUAGAUAUCACGCAGAACACCGAUUGCGAAGGCAGCUCACUGAACUGCAACUGACACUGAUGCUCGAAAGUGUGGGUAUCAAACAGGAUUAGAUACCCCUGUAGUC